Molecule: unclassified non-coding RNA, 20 nt
Filed under: Cloning vector pMM22
Description: gRNA variable region
Source: RNAcentral
UGGAAGAUGAACCGAAGCUG